GGUGGGUUGAACCUGGUUUAAUUGCAUGCAACCUUCCACUUUAUGACAAUUCUAAAAAGUAUUGCUAAAACAGUAUGUGAAAGAAAGACAGCAAAAUCACACGAGAAAACAGAGAAAUGCAAAAAUAAUGAUAUAAUAAUCGACACAACAUGCAAAUCGCAGACCAACAACGAACAUAUUCCAUCAACGACAAACACCGGAGGAUAUGAAAAUUACAUGAAUGGUAUUUUCGAUACUUAGCAGACAAACGACAAAAAUGUUAAACCACAAUCUAAGAUAAAAUUGUCUUCAAAUAAUUUUGACAUAGACACAUCGUAUGGAUCAACCAAUGUGUGAUGAUAUCCAUAUAAGUUACGGAGUGUCGUAUUUUAUCUUUCCUCCUCAUAACUCUACAAUACAUUACACAAUAAAGUUCAAUAAAUUCAACAGUUAACAGUAAAUUGUUGUUAUAUUUCAUCAUACUCUUUUCUUUCAACAAACAUGCAGAAACUAAUUAUAUACAAAGCUAACGGACUAAAUGAACUAGCAAUGAUUCUAAUUAUCGGUACUUGUUCAUCUUUAUAGACAAUUCGAAUGGCAUAGAUGUAUAAAACUAAGUUAUAUACUAUGUCUGUACAAAAUAUCACAGUUACUGUAAUAGCAAAAUCGGUCAUUUUCCAGUCCACUAGAAUAAGACUGUACAGUAUAAUGUAUAGAUCAAAAAGCACAUCUAACAACUUAUAGUUAGCGUUCGACAGAUAUAUUAUGAAUCCAAACGUUCGCCAACCAGAUGCUACACAGACACUAAAUGUAGUUGUAUACAUCCAUACAAGGUGAAUUAUCAAAAGAGUAAACAAUACAACGGCUGAACUUGUAUUAACAAAAUUGGUUCUGUUGAGAACGCAGAUGACUAUCAGUGUUGCUAUGUUGCUAACACAUCCCAAAAUUACACGUAUGAUAUAUACUUUAGUUUGCCAAUAUUCAUCGGGUGUAAAGUCUCCUUUUUGAAACAGCAACAGGACUGAAGAUGUUAAGUCUGAAUAAAACUGGAAAUUCAUACUAAAGAAAUUUCUUGUUUUUCACAGUUUUAAAAAAACAUGAUCAACGUUAAACAUAACGUAAAUAAACACAAAUU
RNAcentral lists this long non-coding RNA (1114 nucleotides) under Mytilus galloprovincialis (Mediterranean mussel). Lineage: Eukaryota; Metazoa; Mollusca; Bivalvia; Mytilida; Mytilidae. The record is from RNAcentral.